Molecule: ribosomal RNA, 301 nt
Filed under: uncultured bacterium
Lineage: Bacteria
Description: partial 16S ribosomal RNA
Rfam family: Bacterial small subunit ribosomal RNA
Source: RNAcentral
CAGCAGCCGCGGUAACACGAAGGGUGCAAGCGUUACUCGGAAUUACUGGGCGUAAAGCGUGCGUAGGUGGUGGUUUAAGUCCGUUGUGAAAGCCCUGGGCUCAACCUGGGAAUUGCAGUGGAUACUGGGUCACUAGAGUGUGGUAGAGGAUAGUGGAAUUUCCGGUGUAGCAGUGAAAUGCGUAGAGAUCGGAAGGAACAUCUGUGGCGAAGGCGACUAUCUGGGCCAACACUGACACUGAGGCACGAAAGCGUGGGGAGCAAACAGGAUUAGAUACCCCUGUAGUCCCUGUCUCUUAUAC